UUUUGUGCACAGAGGGUUUGUGGCUCGGUGAGGGAUAGAAAAUCCUGGAGGGAGGGACCCGUGUGGUGUGAGGGGCUUCACUGUGGGGCCAAAUUCCGUGCAAAGCUGACAAAGACAGGCCCAAAAAAUCCCUUCUAAUACCUGAUUUGCCAAUCUACCUGCAUCUGUCUUAAUCCAGACCAUGUUCUAUCCAUACAAUUAAAUUUAGGGACUGCAAACCUUCGGCAGUGACAGCGGUGAGGUUAAAUACAUUACUCACAAGAAGGAAACUGUGAAAUAAUGGCCUCUUCUGGUGUCUGACACCUUGAAGAGGUGCUGGUGGGGGUGUUCCCUGCAGUGCAUCCCUGGGUUUUGUUUUAAAGGAGAAGAAAGAAGCAGCAUGGGGAGCCUGGAUCCAGCUCGCGCUGGGCUGAGCCCUGGAAGGGAGGGAAGGAUGGAGGAGAGCCCAGGAGAGGAGCAGGAAUUCGGGAUGGGCUCUGGCAAAUGUAGGACAAUCUCUGCUAUCCUUGGAAAUAUCAGGAUGAUCAGCUUCUAUGUGCCUGAUGAAGACUUGAGCCAGAACCUUCUGUGAAAGCCCCUGGGUGCCAGAGCUGGGAAUUUUCUCUGUGGAAAGCCAAGCCCCCAACACCUCCCGCUGCUCUCCUCAGAACCCAAAUCCCCUUUGCUGAGAGCUGAACCCCCACAGUGCCCAAAUUGCUCCCUUUUUGCAGAAGAGAGGAUAAAAAACCACUCCUGAACCCAGC
Ficedula albicollis (Collared flycatcher) is the source of this 743-nucleotide long non-coding RNA. RefSeq lists it as uncharacterized. The transcript has 3 exons. NCBI's taxonomy places the organism in Eukaryota, Metazoa, Chordata, Aves, Passeriformes, Muscicapidae. The record is from RefSeq and is a predicted model, not a curated record.